CCUACGGGGGGCUGCAGUCGAGAAUCUUCCGCAAUGGGCGCAAGCCUGACGGAGCGAUGCCGCGUGAGGGAUGACGGCCUUCGGGUUGUAAACCUCUGUCAUCCGGGACGAAAACAAUGACGGUACCGGAAAAGGAAGCCACGGCUAACCACGUGCCAGCAGCCGCGGUAACACGUGGGUGGCGAGCGUUAUUCGGAUUUACUGGGCGUAAAGGGUCCGCAGGGGGCCUGCCACGCCUGCCGUGAAAUUCCAAGGCUCAACCUUGGACCUGCGGCGGGUACGGGCGGGCUAGAGUGCAAGAAGGGCAGACGGAAUUCCAGGUGUAGCGGUGGAAUGCGUAGAUAUCUGGAAGAACACCGAUGGCGAAGGCGGUCUGCUGGCUUGUAACUGACCCUCAGGGACGAGAGCGUGGGUAGCAAACAGGCUUAGAUACCCCGGUAGUC
RNAcentral lists this ribosomal RNA (443 nucleotides) under uncultured bacterium. Its description in RNAcentral is "bacterial SSU rRNA". It matches the Rfam family "Bacterial small subunit ribosomal RNA", at positions 338 to 795 of the family's 1533-position model. The record is from RNAcentral.